Molecule: small nuclear RNA, 142 nt
Organism: Octodon degus (degu)
Lineage: Eukaryota; Metazoa; Chordata; Mammalia; Rodentia; Octodontidae
Product: U4 spliceosomal RNA
Exons: 1
Source: RefSeq, a predicted model, not a curated record
AACUCUGGGCAGUGACAACAUCGAAGCCAAUGAGGUUUAUCUGAAGCACCACUAUUGCUGACUGAAAACUUAUCCCACUUAGUGUGUGUGUGUGUGUGAAUUGCAUGUGCACACACUAAAGUUAUGGGUUAUCAUCAAAGGU